ACAGAGAUAUUAAAGAUCACCAUGAAGCUGCUGAUUGUGUUUGCACUUCUUUGUGUAAUGAUGCCUCUGAUCAUUACUGCUCAAAAAUCGGGCAGCAGUGGAGCAGAGGAUAAUCCACCAGAAGAGCAUCUUGUUGACAAGAGAUACCGGGGGCUUUGGCGCAGAGUUUUGGGUCGCCUUGG
Pelmatolapia mariae (spotted tilapia) is the source of this 182-nucleotide long non-coding RNA. RefSeq lists it as uncharacterized. NCBI's taxonomy places the organism in Eukaryota, Metazoa, Chordata, Actinopteri, Cichliformes, Cichlidae. The record is from RefSeq and is a predicted model, not a curated record. The transcript is spliced from 3 exons.